CUUCUUCUCUUUCCAUGCCAUAUGAAGGAGUCAUCCACUGGAAGUGGUGGAAGCUUACACACAGGUAGUAGUCCACAGCCCUUUAGGCUAACAUUAGAAUCUUAUAAUGUGGACUAGUUACUCCCUUUUCAAGCUGAAUUUUUAUCCCUCCCCCCCCCUUCUUUGUAUAUGCAUAAAUUGGUAUAUUCCAGGCAUGGAAAAGGUGGGAACUGAACACAUUUGUACUGUGGAGGAGCAUAAAGCAACAGUUUGGCCCUUACUGAAGUUCUUUCUUGUGGGGAGCUCUCUGUGGACAGGGGGGCUUCUGCGUCUUUUUCUCUGGCAGCAGCACAGCACACAACUUGUCAGCCCACAUUUGGGGCCAUUUCCAAAGCGAUAUUCAGCUUGCAACACACUGUAGGGAGCUGCUGCUGCUGCUGCUGUCAAAAGGGCAAACAGCUCCGUGGCAUGGACUGAAAGCAGCUCCCAGAAUUGUAUAGUCCAUAACUACAGAGCCAGGGAGUGGUAAUUAUUCUGCAUUAAUACAUUCAAAGAAAGAGGAGAUUUAGGUUCUCUGUUCUCCGUGCUGACACAGUAUUAAAAAGGUCAUUUUUCUAUCCUACACCUCUCAACUUCUUGAAAGGCAGAAUGGGACAAACGUUGUCAGAACAGGAGAUUAUACCCUUUCCAAGGGGAAGGGAAACCUCUGUGACAAACCACUGUGAUGCUGGAGUUUAGUGGGAACACUGAGAACAGCACACUCCCUUCCGAUUUAUUAUGUCCUUGCAGGAGUGGGGUGAAGGCAUUUCCCUCCUUUGGGGAUAUAACUAGGUGCUCUUUUUAUUAUUCUCACUAACCCUUCAAUCCAUGGUGCUGACAGCACUCCAACAAUACUGCCUAAUGGCUGGUGAGUAGCUACAGUAGUUCAUAUAUUGCUGUCUCAACAAGGGAAGAUAGUUAGGAUGGGAUGAGAAAAAAUGAAACCAGAUCCUGCUGAGAAGAUCAAACUGCAUAAAAAUCCCUAGACUUUGGCAAGUGUCAUGGUUGCUUUUUCAGAGGAUGAUGACUCAACAAAGAUUUUGAAAACUCUGACCCUUCCUUUGUAUAUGCAUUAUUCUGGAACUGUGUUUAUUAUUUAAUAGAAGAAAUAAAUGAGGUGGCAGCUCCCUCAGAGAGACUCUGACAAACUAAACCUUACCAGUAAAACAAUGAGGGAGAGAUAGAAAAAGCAACUGCCUUCCCAAUGAUCCCGUAAUGGAACCGUAGCUCAGAGAAUGGGGAUAUACGCUUGUUAACCAUUGUUAACUAGUAUUUUUAGUCCUGAUUGCUCUUAGGCUCUGUAUAGUUCCUUUUUUAAUGCAUUUUCUAUACGUUAAUAAAAGAUUCCAAAGGAGAAA
Long non-coding RNA from Podarcis raffonei (Aeolian wall lizard), 1376 nucleotides. RefSeq lists it as uncharacterized. The record is from RefSeq and is a predicted model, not a curated record. The transcript is spliced from 2 exons. NCBI's taxonomy places the organism in Eukaryota, Metazoa, Chordata, Lepidosauria, Squamata, Lacertidae.